UGGAGAGUUUGAUCCUGGCUCAGGACGAACGCUGGCGGCGUGCUUAACACAUGCAAGUCGAGCGGAAAGGCUCCUUCGGGGGUACUCGAGCGGCGAACGGGUGAGUAACACGUGAGUAAUCUGCCCCUGGCUCUGGGAUAACCAUCGGAAACGGUGGCUAAUACCGGAUAUGACCUGCUCCUGCAUGGGUGUGGGUGGAAAGUUUUUUCGGCCAGGGAUGUGCUCGCGGCCUAUCAGCUUGUUGGUGAGGUAAUGGCUCACCAAGGCUUUGACGGGUAGCCGGCCUGAGAGGGUGACCGGUCACACUGGGACUGAGACACGGCCCAGACUCCUACGGGAGGCAGCAGUGGGGAAUAUUG
This is a ribosomal RNA of 359 nucleotides. It matches the Rfam family "Bacterial small subunit ribosomal RNA", at positions 1 to 366 of the family's 1533-position model.